UGGGGAAUAUUGGACAAUGGGGGAAACCCUGAUCCAGCAAUACCGCGUGAAUGAAGAAGGCCCUUGGGUUGUAAAGUUCUUUUAUUAGGGAAGAUGAUGACGGUACCUAAUGAAUAAGCACCGGCUAACUUCGUGCCAGCAGCCGCGGUAAUACGAAGGGUGCUAGCGUUGUUCGGAAUUAUUGGGCGUAAAGGGCGUGUAGGCGGGAGCGUGCGUCAGGUGUGAAAGCCCUGGGCUUAACCUAGGAAUAGCAUUUGAUACGGCGCUUCUUUGAGUGCGAGAGGGGAAAAUGGAAUGGCGAGUGGAGCAGUGAAAUGCGUUGAUAUUCGUUGGAACACCGGAGGCGAAGGCGAUUUUCUGGCUCGCAACUGACGCUAAGGCGCGAAAGCGUGGGGAGCAAACAGG
Molecule: ribosomal RNA, 405 nt
Filed under: uncultured Rickettsiales bacterium
Lineage: Bacteria; Pseudomonadati; Pseudomonadota; Alphaproteobacteria; Rickettsiales
Description: bacterial SSU rRNA
Rfam family: Bacterial small subunit ribosomal RNA
Source: RNAcentral